AUACUUACCUGGCAGGGGAGGUACCAUGAUCACGAAGGUGGUUUUCCCAGGGUGAGGCUUAUCCAUUGCACUCCGGAUGUGCUGACUCCUGCGAUUUCCCCAAAAUGUGGGAAACUCGACUGCAUAAUUUGUGGUAGUGGGGGACUGCGUUCACGCUCUCCCCUG
This 165-nucleotide small nuclear RNA is filed under the name Echinops telfairi (small Madagascar hedgehog). RNAcentral's name for it is "U1 spliceosomal RNA (ENSETEG00000022198.1)". It matches the Rfam family "U1 spliceosomal RNA". From Rfam's summary of the family: U1 is a small nuclear RNA (snRNA) component of the spliceosome (involved in pre-mRNA splicing). Its 5' end forms complementary base pairs with the 5' splice junction, thus defining the 5' donor site of an intron. There are significant differences in sequence and secondary structure between metazoan and yeast U1 snRNAs, the latter being much longer (568 nucleotides as compared to 164 nucleotides in human). Lineage: Eukaryota; Metazoa; Chordata; Mammalia; Afrosoricida; Tenrecidae. The record is from RNAcentral.